CCUACGGGUUGCACCAGUGGGGAAUAUUGCACAAUGGGCGCAAGCCUGAUGCAGCCAUGCCGCGUGUAUGAAGAAGGCCUUCGGGUUGUAAAGUACUUUCAGCGGGGAGGAAGGCGAUAAGGUUAAUAACCUUGUCGAUUGACGUUACUCGCAGAAGAAGCACCGGCUAGCUCCGUGCCAGCAGCCGCGGUAAUACGGAGGGUGCAAGCGUUAAUCGGAAUUACUGGGCGUAAAGCGCACGCAGGCGGUUUGUUAAGUCGGAUGUGAAAUCCCCGGGCUCAACCUGGGAACUGCAUUCGAAACUGGCAAGCUUGAGUCUUGUAGAGGGGGUAGAAUUCCAGGUGUAGCGGUGAAAUGCGUAGAGAUCUGGAGGAAUACCGGUGGCGAAGGCGGCCCCCUGGACAAAGACUGACGCUCAGGUGCGAAAGCGUGGGGAGCAAACAGGAUUAGAUACCCCAGUAGUC
This 464-nucleotide ribosomal RNA is filed under the name uncultured bacterium. RNAcentral describes it as "bacterial SSU rRNA". It matches the Rfam family "Bacterial small subunit ribosomal RNA", at positions 338 to 795 of the family's 1533-position model. The record is from RNAcentral.